AUAGCAGAUCUAUACAUGUCUUAAACGUCACAAAUGCUAAUGAAUAGCAAAUGAUGUAAGACACAAGUUUUGGCCUAUUCCGAAAAUAGGUAAAGCCACUAGGGCUAUAUCGCAAAACUCGUGAAGAGAUAAGGGAUAGGAACUCUGAACGUCCCCAAUGAUUUCCACCGAGACGCAGCCCAGCUUCUCCAUGCCGCCGUGGCCAUGUGCUGCUGCCGCCGCAUAGGGGGGGGGGGGGCGGCUGCACCGUGCACUGUCGGCAGUUGGUCCAGGCCGCGACACCACCCGCCGGGAGAUAGUGGUCGAGGGCAUCGCCUCGCCGUUGUCAUGGUCUGCGACUUCGCCGAGGUUGCCGCCUGCGCGUGCAGGUUGCGGUCCUCGGGCACUCUGCGCCGGAGGACGUCGGCAUGCCGCGCAUCGGAAAUCGAGGCCGAGCAGAGCGUCGAGGGGGCGCCAACGCACCGCGUGCUGAGGAGCGCCGAGCGGUUGACGGCGAGCGUCACCGCGCCACACGUCGGGGCUGCCGUUGCCCUGCGCGUCUCCACGUGAUGGAGGCAGGGAGUCGGGGUCAAGCGCCUGAGGGCCCGCCACCGUUUCCGACGCCAGAGGCCAAGCCGGUGGUGCCGGUGUUCCAGUCCAUCAUGGGGCCGAGGCCAGACGAAGCCGAUGCCAUCCUCAUUGACGUUCUUGAUGGCCUGAUGGCGACAAGCGCCACCACCAAGUCCAGAGACGAUGGGUAUCGCUCUCAAAGAGGCAGUUAGAAAUCGAGAGAUUUCUGUCGUGACCGUGCACGGGGCGAGGCUGCCGCUUGGAAGCGCUUGCGCCGGGCUGAUGGCCGCCGCGGUAGCGGGCGCCACCACGCCAAACCGAGGGCUGCGGUGGUUGAACUCGCGAGCGAGCGAGGUCGUAGCCAGGCGCCGAUAGAAUUGCUCCGCCGGGAGCGUGCUGAUAACGUGUUUAGAAUUGAGAUUGAGAGAGACAGAGACAAUCGAAUGGAAUAAAUCAGUGUAUACUUUAUUGAUGAUGUGAUCACAUAUAUAUACAGUUUGAGGGGAUGCCACUAGAGACUGUA
Triticum aestivum (bread wheat) is the source of this 1072-nucleotide long non-coding RNA. RefSeq lists it as uncharacterized. The transcript has 2 exons. NCBI's taxonomy places the organism in Eukaryota, Viridiplantae, Streptophyta, Magnoliopsida, Poales, Poaceae. The record is from RefSeq and is a predicted model, not a curated record.